GGGUGAGUAAUGUCUGGGAAACUGCCUGAUGGAGGGGGAUAACUACUGGAAACGGUAGCUAAUACCGCAUAACGUCGCAAGACCAAAGAGGGGGACCUUCGGGCCUCUUGCCAUCGGAUGUGCCCAGAUGGGAUUAGCUAGUAGGUGGGGUAACGGCUCACCUAGGCGACGAUCCCUAGCUGGUCUGAGAGGAUGACCAGCCACACUGGAACUGAGACACGGUCCAGACUCCUACGGGAGGCAGCAGUGGGGAAUAUUGCACAAUGGGCGCAAGCCUGAUGCAGCCAUGCCGCGUGUAUGAAGAAGGCCUUCGGGUUGUAAAGUACUUUCAGCGGGGAGGAAGGGAGUAAAGUUAAUACCUUUGCUCAUUGACGUUACCCGCAGAAGAAGCACCGGCUAACUCCGUGCCAGCAGCCGCGGUAAUACGGAGGGUGCAAGCGUUAAUCGGAAUUACUGGGCGUAAAGCGCACG
This 471-nucleotide ribosomal RNA is filed under the name Escherichia coli. RNAcentral describes it as "bacterial SSU rRNA". It matches the Rfam family "Bacterial small subunit ribosomal RNA", at positions 104 to 571 of the family's 1533-position model. The record is from RNAcentral. Lineage: Bacteria; Pseudomonadati; Pseudomonadota; Gammaproteobacteria; Enterobacterales; Enterobacteriaceae.